Prunus avium (sweet cherry) is the source of this 2865-nucleotide non-coding RNA. NCBI's taxonomy places the organism in Eukaryota, Viridiplantae, Streptophyta, Magnoliopsida, Rosales, Rosaceae. The record is from RefSeq and is a predicted model, not a curated record.
GUAAAAUUCCUCUGCUGUAUUCUGCAGAGCAGUGAGAGAACAUUUCAUUCUCUGACACUUUCGUUUCUUUCUCUUUCUUUCUUCAUCAUCUUUCUCAUAUAUGCAUUGAGAUUCCAUAGAAACCAGAAUCAUACAAGAAACACUAACAUGGCCUCAGAGCCAGGUUAGAUCACUUGAAUCAGGGCGUUCUUAAGACUCUGAAAUCGAGCUAUAUCGAAGCUCACUCAAGGUUUGGUGAAGGUUGCUGGAUCUCGAUUUUGACCUGAAACAACUUGUUUUUGGUUUAUCUGAGCUCAUAAAUGGCUGGAUCUGGAAGUUCAGAAGUGAAAACUCUGAUCUUCUUCGGUGAGAACUAUGAGUCAGGGAGAAUCAAAAUGGUAACCAUAUUCAAAUCAUAUGGUUUAUGGAAUCUGGUGGAAAAGGGAAUUACGAUUCCUGAUUUGGAGAAGAAAAAGAAAGCUGGGGAAGCUUUAGAAGAUGAGGUUGAUGAGAAAAUGGUUGCAAUCUUCAUAAAAGAUGCAAAAGCUCUGGGUAUCAUACAAAACGCAGUUUCCGAUCAAAUCUUCCCUCGUAUCGCCAACGCAGACUCAGCUAAAAUGGCAUGGGAGAAUAUCAUGGUGGUGACCAAGUUAGAUUGGUAAAACUUCUAAAUCUCAAACGUGAAUUUGAAUACACUAGAAUGCGUGAUAAUUAAUGAGCCUCUAUCUCUUUAUCUUACACGAUUGAAUGAGUUGAUUAAUCUGAUGAAAACAUUUGGUGAGAUUCUUUCAAAUGAGAGACUUGUUCAAAAGGUUUUGAUUAGUCUCAGUAAAGCAUAUAAUCCUAUAUGUCUUGUGAUUGAAAACACAAAGAGCCUAUUGUAAAAUUGCAGGAAGUGAUUGAUAUUUUGAAAAGCCAAGAAUAAUAGUUCGAUUUGCAUAGUGUUAAUACAGCUGAGAAAGCAUUUGCCUCAUUCUCUGUGAGUCCAAAAGGGCAUAACAAGGGUGGUGCUCAAUCUGGUUCAUCCAAAUUUUAGAAGAAUUGGAAUCCUAAGGGUAAACAAUGGGAAUCAGAACCCAAGUUUCAACAUACUAGCUCAGCACAAAACUUGAACUUGUCACAGUCAAUGAGUCAAGAAGUUAUAAAACCUCAGUGUAAAGUGUGCUCCAAGUUUCAUUUUGGUGAGUGCAGAUAUAAGGGGAAGCCUAAGUGCUAUAACUGUGAUAGAUUUGGUCACUUGGCUAGAGAAUGUACUUCAGGUAAGGCAGUUCCGAAGGCAAACUGUGCUAGCCAAAUGGAGGUGACAGGGAACUUAUUCUAUGCAAAUAGUGCAAUAACUUAGGCAAAGAUAAAUGGAGAGUGGUACAUUGACAGUGGUUGUAGCAAUCACAUGGCUGGAAAUGUGGAGCUCCUUGUUGAUAUAAGGACAAAUAUUGCAAGAAAGGUUCAAAUGCCAAUAGGUGCACUUGUGGAUGUAGCUGGUAUGGGUUCACUCGUUAUGGACGCAAAUAGAGGCAGAAAAUUCAUCAGAGAAGUGAUGUAUCUUCCAGAUUAUCUCCAAGACAGUUGCCAACAGAUUGAAGAAGGCCUUGCCCCAUGUGAUCUCGGAGUUUCAGAGUGCUUAUUCCUGAUCGUAUGAUAUUGGAUAAUGUGCUAGCAGCAUUUGAAACUAUUCAUUAUUUGAAGCGGCUGGGAAAAGCAGGAGGGGGAAAGCUUGUGUUGAAACUGGAUAUGGCAAAAGCUUAUGAUCGUGUUAAAUGGUUCUUUCUAGACCGCAUGAUGCAUACUAUGGAUUUUCCUGCUCGUUUUGUCAAUUUUAUUAUGGGAUGUAUUACCACAGCUUCUUACUUGGUGUUACUUCAAGGGGACCUUUUGGUAAGCUUAUCCUGUCCAAGGGUUUGCGCCAAAGGGAUCCAAUUUCACCCUACUUACUUCUUAUCAUGGCUGAGGGAUUCUCUGCCCUUCUCCACCAAGCUGAGUUCAAUUCUAAGAUCAGGAGAGUCUCAAUUGCUGCUUCGGCACCUUCUCUAAAUCAUUUGAUGAUAGUUUGUUGUUUUGUGAUGCAGAGCCUACUCAAGUUGAUAAGUUAAAGUGUAUAUUCCGCAUCUAUGAGGAUGCUUUCAGGUGUCAACAGAUUAAACUGGAGAAAUCAGCCAUGUGUUUUAGUCCUUCUACGUCGCUGGCAGCACAUGCCCAAAUUCAAGCUAUAUUGGGUGUUCCUAUUGUCCUAGGAACCCGAAAAAUAUUUGGGACUCCCUACCAUUGCUGGAAAGAAUAAAAAAUCUGAUGUUUCAUACUCUUAAAGAUUGCAUAUGGAAGAAGAUUACAUGUUGGGAAGGUCGAUUACUUUCGAAAGUUGGAAAGGAAGUUUAGUUAAGGCAGUUUGCCAAGCCAUGCCUACUUAUUCUAUGAGUGUAUUCAGCUUCCCGGUUGCCAUUUGCAAUGAGAUUGAAAGUAUUAUUACUCUCUUUUGGUGGUCUAAAGGCACUGAGAGAGGAAUUCAUUGGAAAAAUUGGAAAGCUUUGUGUCGUCAUAAGUCAGAGGGCGGUUUGAGCUUCCAUGAGUUAGUCAGUUUCAAUAAAGCUCUGUGGGCAAAACAAGGAUGGCGCUUGCUUGAAUCUCCUAAUUCACUUGAAGCUCAUAUGGUGAAAGCAAGGUAUUUCCCUACUUUUGAUUUCUUGAAUGCCCAAGCUGGCUCGGCUCCUUCAUAUACUUGGCUAUCUAUUCUGUGGGAUAGAGAAUUGGCUCGGCUCCUUACGAUGGAGAAUUGGUGAUGGCCGAUUGGUACAAAUAUAUGGUGAUGCUUGGAUUCCUCACAGCCGCAAUUUUACUGUGCAAACCGCUCCUCAUAUCCCCCAAUAUCCAUCAUAAGAGAAUAAAUUUCAA